Aricia agestis (brown argus) is the source of this 99-nucleotide long non-coding RNA. RefSeq lists it as uncharacterized. The transcript has 3 exons. The record is from RefSeq and is a predicted model, not a curated record. Lineage: Eukaryota; Metazoa; Arthropoda; Insecta; Lepidoptera; Lycaenidae.
GCGCUCCGUCGCUUACGUCCACCGAAAACUCCCGUCGGGUCGCGUUCGCGACGAAAAUUAUUAUAACGUCGAAGGUUCCACCGUGAGCGCCAAUGUAUA